GGACCUGUAGUUUAGUGGUUAUAACGCUGCCCUUACAAGGCGGAGGUCGCCGGUUCGAAUCCGGUCGGGUCCA
RNAcentral lists this transfer RNA (73 nucleotides) under Candidatus Woesearchaeota archaeon. RNAcentral's name for it is "tRNA-Val". It matches the Rfam family "tRNA". Rfam says of the family: Transfer RNA (tRNA) molecules are approximately 80 nucleotides in length. Their secondary structure includes four short double-helical elements and three loops (D, anti-codon, and T loops). Lineage: Archaea; Nanobdellati; Candidatus Woesearchaeota. The record is from RNAcentral.